RNAcentral lists this ribosomal RNA (552 nucleotides) under uncultured bacterium. RNAcentral describes it as "bacterial SSU rRNA". It matches the Rfam family "Bacterial small subunit ribosomal RNA", at positions 777 to 1329 of the family's 1533-position model. The record is from RNAcentral.
AAUAGAUACCCGGGUAGUCCACGCCCUAAACUAUGUCAACUAGUUGUCGGGGAAGAAAUUCCUUGGUAACGCAGCUAACGCGUGAAGUUGACCGCCUGGGGAGUACGGCCGCAAGGUUAAAACUCAAAGGAAUUGACGGGGACCCGCACAAGCGGUGGAUUAUGUGGAUUAAUUCGAUGCAACGCGAAAAACCUUACCUACCCUUGACAUGUACGGAAUUCCGCAGAGAUGUGGAAGUGCCCGAAAGGGAACCGUAACACAGGUGCUGCAUGGCUGUCGUCAGCUCGUGUCGUGAGAUGUUGGGUUAAGUCCCGCAACGAGCGCAACCCUUGCCAUUAGUUGCUACAUUCAGUUGGGCACUCUAAUGGGACCGCCGGUGACAAACCGGAGGAAGGUGGGGAUGACGUCAAGUCCUCAUGGCCCUUAUGGGUAGGGGCUUCACACGUAAUACAAUGGUCGGUACAGAGGGCUGCCAACCCGCAAGGGGGAGCUAAUCCCAGAAAGCCGAUCGUAGUCCGGAUUGUAGUCUGCAACUCGACUGCAUGAAGCCGG